RNAcentral lists this ribosomal RNA (2931 nucleotides) under Escherichia coli. Its description in RNAcentral is "bacterial LSU rRNA". It matches the Rfam family "Bacterial large subunit ribosomal RNA". Lineage: Bacteria; Pseudomonadati; Pseudomonadota; Gammaproteobacteria; Enterobacterales; Enterobacteriaceae. The record is from RNAcentral.
GGGUUGUGAGGUUAAGCGACUAAGCGUACACGGUGGAUGCCCUGGCAGUCAGAGGCGAUGAAGGACGUGCUAAUCUGCGAUAAGCGUCGGUAAGGUGAUAUGAACCGUUAUAACCGGCGAUUUCCGAAUGGGGAAACCCAGUGUGAUUCGUCACACUAUCAUUAACUGAAUCCAUAGGUUAAUGAGGCGAACCGGGGGAACUGAAACAUCUAAGUACCCCGAGGAAAAGAAAUCAACCGAGAUUCCCCCAGUAGCGGCGAGCGAACGGGGAGCAGCCCAGAGCCUGAAUCAGUGUGUGUGUUAGUGGAAGCGUCUGGAAAGGCGCGCGAUACAGGGUGACAGCCCCGUACACAAAAAUGCACAUGCUGUGAGCUCGAUGAGUAGGGCGGGACACGUGGUAUCCUGUCUGAAUAUGGGGGGACCAUCCUCCAAGGCUAAAUACUCCUGACUGACCGAUAGUGAACCAGUACCGUGAGGGAAAGGCGAAAAGAACCCCGGCGAGGGGAGUGAAAAAGAACCUGAAACCGUGUACGUACAAGCAGUGGGAGCCUCUUUAUGGGGUGACUGCGUACCUUUUGUAUAAUGGGUCAGCGACUUAUAUUCUGUAGCAAGGUUAACCGAAUAGGGGAGCCGAAGGGAAACCGAGUCUUAACUGGGCGUUAAGUUGCAGGGUAUAGACCCGAAACCCGGUGAUCUAGCCAUGGGCAGGUUGAAGGUUGGGUAACACUAACUGGAGGACCGAACCGACUAAUGUUGAAAAAUUAGCGGAUGACUUGUGGCUGGGGGUGAAAGGCCAAUCAAACCGGGAGAUAGCUGGUUCUCCCCGAAAGCUAUUUAGGUAGCGCCUCGUGAAUUCAUCUCCGGGGGUAGAGCACUGUUUCGGCAAGGGGGUCAUCCCGACUUACCAACCCGAUGCAAACUGCGAAUACCGGAGAAUGUUAUCACGGGAGACACACGGCGGGUGCUAACGUCCGUCGUGAAGAGGGAAACAACCCAGACCGCCAGCUAAGGUCCCAAAGUCAUGGUUAAGUGGGAAACGAUGUGGGAAGGCCCAGACAGCCAGGAUGUUGGCUUAGAAGCAGCCAUCAUUUAAAGAAAGCGUAAUAGCUCACUGGUCGAGUCGGCCUGCGCGGAAGAUGUAACGGGGCUAAACCAUGCACCGAAGCUGCGGCAGCGACGCUUAUGCGUUGUUGGGUAGGGGAGCGUUCUGUAAGCCUGCGAAGGUGUGCUGUGAGGCAUGCUGGAGGUAUCAGAAGUGCGAAUGCUGACAUAAGUAACGAUAAAGCGGGUGAAAAGCCCGCUCGCCGGAAGACCAAGGGUUCCUGUCCAACGUUAAUCGGGGCAGGGUGAGUCGACCCCUAAGGCGAGGCCGAAAGGCGUAGUCGAUGGGAAACAGGUUAAUAUUCCUGUACUUGGUGUUACUGCGAAGGGGGGACGGAGAAGGCUAUGUUGGCCGGGCGACGGUUGUCCCGGUUUAAGCGUGUAGGCUGGUUUUCCAGGCAAAUCCGGAAAAUCAAGGCUGAGGCGUGAUGACGAGGCACUACGGUGCUGAAGCAACAAAUGCCCUGCUUCCAGGAAAAGCCUCUAAGCAUCAGGUAACAUCAAAUCGUACCCCAAACCGACACAGGUGGUCAGGUAGAGAAUACCAAGGCGCUUGAGAGAACUCGGGUGAAGGAACUAGGCAAAAUGGUGCCGUAACUUCGGGAGAAGGCACGCUGAUAUGUAGGUGAAGCGACUUGCUCGUGGAGCUGAAAUCAGUCGAAGAUACCAGCUGGCUGCAACUGUUUAUUAAAAACACAGCACUGUGCAAACACGAAAGUGGACGUAUACGGUGUGACGCCUGCCCGGUGCCGGAAGGUUAAUUGAUGGGGUUAGCGGUAACGCGAAGCUCUUGAUCGAAGCCCCGGUAAACGGCGGCCGUAACUAUAACGGUCCUAAGGUAGCGAAAUUCCUUGUCGGGUAAGUUCCGACCUGCACGAAUGGCGUAAUGAUGGCCAGGCUGUCUCCACCCGAGACUCAGUGAAAUUGAACUCGCUGUGAAGAUGCAGUGUACCCGCGGCAAGACGGAAAGACCCCGUGAACCUUUACUAUAGCUUGACACUGAACAUUGAGCCUUGAUGUGUAGGAUAGGUGGGAGGCUUUGAAGUGUGGACGCCAGUCUGCAUGGAGCCGACCUUGAAAUACCACCCUUUAAUGUUUGAUGUUCUAACGUUGGCCCCUAAUCGGGGUUGCGGACAGUGUCUGGUGGGUAGUUUGACUGGGGCGGUCUCCUCCUAAAGAGUAACGGAGGAGCACGAAGGUUGGCUAAUCCUGGUCGGACAUCAGGAGGUUAGUGCAAUGGCAUAAGCCAGCUUGACUGCGAGCGUGACGGCGCGAGCAGGUGCGAAAGCAGGUCAUAGUGAUCCGGUGGUUCUGAAUGGAAGGGCCAUCGCUCAACGGAUAAAAGGUACUCCGGGGAUAACAGGCUGAUACCGCCCAAGAGUUCAUAUCGACGGCGGUGUUUGGCACCUCGAUGUCGGCUCAUCACAUCCUGGGGCUGAAGUAGGUCCCAAGGGUAUGGCUGUUCGCCAUUUAAAGUGGUACGCGAGCUGGGUUUAGAACGUCGUGAGACAGUUCGGUCCCUAUCUGCCGUGGGCGCUGGAGAACUGAGGGGGGCUGCUCCUAGUACGAGAGGACCGGAGUGGACGCAUCACUGGUGUUCGGGUUGUCAUGCCAAUGGCACUGCCCGGUAGCUAAAUGCGGAAGAGAUAAGUGCUGAAAGCAUCUAAGCACGAAACUUGCCCCGAGAUGAGUUCUCCCUGACUCCUUGAGAGUCCUGAAGGAACGUUGAAGACGACGACGUUGAUAGGCCGGGUGUGUAAGCGCAGCGAUGCGUUGAGCUAACCGGUACUAAUGAACCGUGAGGCUUAACCUUACAACGCCGAAGCUGUU